This 463-nucleotide non-coding RNA is filed under the name Capsicum annuum. RNAcentral describes it as "Bacterial small subunit ribosomal RNA". It matches the Rfam family "Bacterial small subunit ribosomal RNA", at positions 996 to 1374 of the family's 1533-position model. The record is from Rfam by way of RNAcentral. Lineage: Eukaryota; Viridiplantae; Streptophyta; Magnoliopsida; Solanales; Solanaceae.
AGUAACAACAAAGAAUGUGCUAAACUAUUAGAAGGAGUAAAAACUACGGCAGUUAAGAUAUUGCAGCCUUCCAAAUAAGAACUGGCCAAUCCUAAUCUCCUUGGUGCCUUCAGGAAUGCAAACACAGGUGAUGCUUGACUGUCGUCAGCUCAUGCCAUUAGGUAUUGGGUUAAGUCUCACAAUGAGUGCAACCCUCGUGUUUAGUUUCCAUUGUUGAGUUUAGAACCCUGAACAGACUACCGGUGAUUAGCCAAAGGAAGGUGAAGAUGACGUCAAGUUAUCAUGCCCCUUAUGCCCUUAGCAACACACAUGCUGUAAUGACCAGGACAAAGGUUCACAAUCCCACAAGGGUAAGCUAACCCUAUAAACCCAUCCUUAGUUUGGAUUGCAGGCUGCAAUUCGCCUGCAUAAAGCUGGAAUCGCCAGUAAUCGUCGGUCAGCCAUACGAUGGUGAAUUCAUUCC